UUUGUAAUCAUAUAAGCAACACGACGGGUGCCACAUGUGGAGCAGGAUCUGCUUACCCUUCCGGAGCACCUGAGAUCACCCCUAGUUUUUGAUGGGGUUCGUGUUGUUUAUUCUUUAGUUUUCUAUGUUGUGUCAUGUGUACUAUUGUUUUUCUGUUUGUCUUUUUCAUUUUUAGCCAUGGCGUUGUCAGUUUGUUUUAGAUUUAUGAGUUUGACUGUCCCUUUGGUAUCUUUCGUCCCUCUUUUGAUAGAUCCGCAUGGUGGUGGAAACAAAUGCAAACUUGAAAAAAAUCACUGUAAUAUUGUUUAUAUAUUCAACUUUAAGUUGGGGGAAUGUAGCGGAAUGUGUUUUUAAAUAUUCAAAAUUUUGUGUAGGAUGGCUCAUUUCUAUUUUCAAUUUGGUUUUAAGGUUAUUAUUGUGCUUUCAUGUUCGUAAAUAGCUGAAAGAUUUUCUACAUUUCCAACAUUCACUUGGGAAGCUUGUCUACUUUGAUACCACACAGCUGAGAGAUAAUGAAAUAUUAGCCCACUAACUGAAAUAUUUUCUACAAUUCCAACAUUCUCUUGGGAAGAUUGUCUACUUUGAUAACACACAGCUGAGAGAUUAUGAAAUACCAGCGCUCUAACUAAAUGAUUUUCUAAAUUUCC
Molecule: long non-coding RNA, 647 nt
Filed under: Mytilus galloprovincialis (Mediterranean mussel)
Lineage: Eukaryota; Metazoa; Mollusca; Bivalvia; Mytilida; Mytilidae
Source: RNAcentral